Molecule: transfer RNA, 94 nt
Filed under: Burkholderia plantarii
Lineage: Bacteria; Pseudomonadati; Pseudomonadota; Betaproteobacteria; Burkholderiales; Burkholderiaceae
Description: tRNA-Arg
Source: RNAcentral
CGACCUGUCCGGCGACGCGCUUGCCGCGCCGGCCUCCGACGCCGCCGCCGACGAGGCGCCGCGCGUCGUCGCCGUGCCGCCCGCGCUGGCCGGC